CAGCCGCCGCGGUAAUACCGGCGGCCCGAGUGGCGGCCACUAUUAUUGGGCCUAAAGCGUCCGUAGCCGGGCUGGUAAGUCCCCCGGGAAAUCUGGCGGCUUAACCGUCAGAAUUCCGGGGGAUACUGCCAGCCUAGGGACCGGGAGAGGCCGGGGGUAUUCCCGGGGUAGGGGUGAAAUCCUAUAAUCCCAGGGGGACCGCCAGUGGCGAAGGCGCCCCGCUGGAACGGGUCCGACGGUGAGGGACGAAGGCCAGGGGAGCAAACCGGAUUAGAUACCCGGGUAGUCCUGGCUGUAAAGGAUGCGGGCUAGGUGUCGGGUGAGCUUCGGGCUCGCCCGGUGCCGUAGGGAAGCCGUUAAGCCCGCCGCCUGGGGAGUACGGCCGCAAGGCUGAAACUUAAAGGAAUUGGCGGG
Molecule: ribosomal RNA, 414 nt
Filed under: uncultured microorganism
Description: bacterial SSU rRNA
Rfam family: Archaeal small subunit ribosomal RNA
Source: RNAcentral